Molecule: non-coding RNA, 81 nt
Organism: Hysterangium stoloniferum
Lineage: Eukaryota; Fungi; Basidiomycota; Agaricomycetes; Hysterangiales; Hysterangiaceae
Source: the annotation of a GenBank genome assembly
GGGCGUUUGGUUUAGGGGUAUAACGUUCGCUUCGCAUACUCUGAGUGCGAAAGGUCCUGGGUUCAAUUCCCAGAACGUCCA